RNA transcript from Cebus imitator (Panamanian white-faced capuchin), 2371 nucleotides. It is a transcript of the gene named carbonic anhydrase 5B, mitochondrial-like, with no coding region annotated. The record is from RefSeq and is a predicted model, not a curated record. The transcript has 5 exons. NCBI's taxonomy places the organism in Eukaryota, Metazoa, Chordata, Mammalia, Primates, Cebidae.
GCCUGGAAUGACGAAAUGACGUUUGCUGCGUGGAGGACGUGGCUAAACGUGAGGGGGCGUGGCCAAGAUGGCCGCGUGCAGGAGCCUUGGGUCCCAGGAGCGAACGAAGUGGUUGUGGCUCAGGCAAAUCGUUCUGGUUAUUGGAUUCCUGCAAGUUGUUUGAGAACUGAUCGAGGUUUCAGGGUAAAGAUGCUGGUGAUUAACAGCCUGAGGAUCAUUCGUCCUGUGUCUCCAUGCAAAUUGCUGUGGAGAACCUUCCAGAUUCCAAGACCCAAGCCAUCCUGCAGCCUCUGUACUUGCACUUACAAAAUCCAGAAAUAAGCCUUGCAUCCACUGUGGGAGAGCGUGGACCUGGUUCCUGGGGGCAAUCAACAGUCACCCAUGAACAUCUGGUGGAGAGACAGUGUUUAUGAUCCCGGCUUAAAACCACUCACCAUCUCUUAUGACCCAGCCACCUGCCUCCACAUCUGGAAUAACGGGUACUCGUUCUUUGUGGAAUUUGAAGAUUCUACAGAUAAAUCAGCUGCAUUGGAAUGCAGUCAAAUUUGAAAACUUUGAGGAUACAGCACUGGAAGAAAAUAACUUGGCUGUGAUAGGAGUAUUUUUAAAGGACAAUUCUCAGUCUCCCUUAAAGAAGUGAAGCUGCCUCCUUUGUGCACUGGCCACUGUCUAAAACCUCCCAGCAAUACUAAGGAGACUACCUGCUGGAUCCUUACUAGAAUUGAGAGAUCAAAUGGUUUUGGCUGUUUUCCCGCUGGAGAAUAUAAAAAAUACACAGUUAAUUGCAGAAACAAAGCCUGGGCAUGAUUCCAUCCUAAGAAGCGAUUCUUCAGGAAGCUGUCCAGAAGGGCCUGGAGCGCCUCUGGACCACUGCUGAUCCCCAGAUACUCCCUGAGGACCAUCACCUAGUCGUCGGAUUCCUGAGUGGUUUUCACUUCUAGAUAAUGACUCAGUGACUCAGUCUCUUGGCCAGGGCACUCUCAUGGAAUUUGGGUCGUUUGGCACUUCCUGCCUGGUGCCCAUCUGUCUAGAUUACUAGACACAAGUAGAUCCAGUAUCACUCUUGUUCACCCCUGACUGAGUCCAUCACCUGGAUCAUUAAGAAGCAGCCAGUAGAGGUUGAUCAUGAUCAGGUACGUCCUCUCCACAAUUUUCAUCUAAGGAAAUCCUCGUCUCCCCCUUUAAAACAAGGCUGGGCUCAGACUGUGGCAUCAGUUUUAACAUCUUGUAAUACUUAUACAUUUUUAUUGAAGGGUACCAACAUCUUGUCUCAGUUUGGACAUGAAUUUAGAGAUAUUUCAAAUUAGCUAGAGAGGAGUUAAAACAUAGAAUAACAUAAGCUUUUUAUAUCUAUAUUUGACAGUGACAUAUGUUUUUAUUAUACAUGCAUUGUGUAGAUUCUCUAUAAAAAUUAAGACCCUUUUAAAUCAAAAAAGAAAGGCUGGAAAUGGGUGUAUUCAAAAUCCUUUAAAAUCCUUAAGGAAGUUUUGCUAUAGAAUCUCAGGAUAAAGACAGAAUCCAACAAUAUUCAUCCAGAAAUUUUCAUGUAAAUCAGUCAUUUGAAACUUGGGAUUUAUUUUUCUAUUAGAAACUAAGUCUAAGUGGUGGUUACUACAUGAGCACACAAAAUCCUGUUUAAUUCGUAAACUAAACUAUAAUAAUAACUGUAUUUACUUGUUCAUAUUGGAUUUUUAUUGACUAAAAGCUUCCAACCUCUUUUUUAUGCAGCUAGGAUAACAGUGAUACUAAAACCCAUCAUAGAUUAGACCAUUCUACCCAAAAAGGUAACAAUAGGCCAAUAUCUCUGAAAAAUAUUUAACAAAAAAAAGCUAAAUAAAAUAUUAGAUAUAGAAUCUAGCAGUGCUUUAGAAGAAAUAUAUACUUUGUCCAGGUAGGGUUUAUUCCAAUAAUCUAAAAAUUAUUCAGUACUAAGAAUUAUAUACAAACGAUUAAUGGAUUUCAUCCCAUCAACAAAUCUAAAGUGAAAAAAUAUAUGAUCAUUUCCGUAGAUUUCCCAAAAUACAUUAGAUAAAACUCACCAUCUCUUUUAAAAAAAUUUUUAAUAGAACAGAAAUGGAGAAUUCCCUAACUGGAUAAAGUAGAUUUAUCUCAGCUCAAAAAUAAAUAGUAUGUUUAAUGUGGAAAGGAUAUCAUUAACUGCAUUAUUAUUAGCAUACUAAAUAUUAAAUUUAAUUGAAUUAACCUCUGGCAGGGGCCAAUAAGGUUAGACCAAAAAAGAUAAAGAACAUUAGAGAAACACUAAAAACUCCUACAAAGAUAAGAUAAUUCAGCAAUUAGUAGAGUACCAUGUUAAUCUAUAGAAAUCAAUUCCUUUGACAUAUAUAACUCACGAUUAGAAGACAUAACAGAA